GACAGAUGUUAUGAAAAGGGAGGAUCUGGGAUAGCAGAAAACAAGUGCUGCAUUCUUCUUUUCAUUUGCUGGUGUGCAAAGGAGCCUGGAGGGCCACAUAACUCUGAGGUGCCGUAGGACGACUUUCGUGCCCUGGCUGGAGGGAACGAGAAGCAAGUGAGGAAGGAGCAGAAGGGAGCAGGCUGCCUCCAUGCCAUCAUUCUCCCCUCCUGAUGACUUUCUGCUGGGGCCUGCAGAGGUCUGAAUCUAUCGCUGGAGAAGGCGCAGGGAGAGGCCAGCCAAACGUUCAUGACUUUGUCAGGGCUGCAAGGUACAAAAGUGAAAUGAUAAGCUUGAGGAGGAAGGGGGAGAAAAAAGGCAGCACCUUAUGGCAUAACAAUAGAGAAGCUUGUCACAACAUAUAAAACCUCCACAACAAGGCCACUGUCUCUUUGCUGGAGCACAACACUGCUAAAAGAUGGUUGAACCAAUUAGAAAGAUUACGCUGGGAAAGGAAAAGACUAUCACCAGAG
Molecule: long non-coding RNA, 512 nt
Organism: Mauremys reevesii (Reeves's turtle)
Lineage: Eukaryota; Metazoa; Chordata; Testudines; Geoemydidae
Exons: 3
Source: RefSeq, a predicted model, not a curated record